Long non-coding RNA from Photinus pyralis (common eastern firefly), 393 nucleotides. RefSeq lists it as uncharacterized. Lineage: Eukaryota; Metazoa; Arthropoda; Insecta; Coleoptera; Lampyridae. The transcript is spliced from 2 exons. The record is from RefSeq and is a predicted model, not a curated record.
GCAAACGGGUGUGUAUAUCAUUUGGGCGAGAUGGUAUAAAAUACGACCGAAUUAGAUCGACUGGCAUAGUUUACUUUGAAAGCAAACGAAACCAGCCAAAAUGUUCAAAUACUUAUUAUUGUUCGUCGCCCUCUUCGCCGUCAGCAUGGCCGCUCCUCAGCCCGAGGCAGAAGCGAAACCCCAAUUUUAUGGUGCCUAUCCAUACUCAUUGGGAUACAGCGCAUACAGCGGCUACGCUGGUUACCCUUAUGGAGCUUAUGGUGCUUACCCAUAUGGAAGAUACAUCUACUAAAAUUGACGAGUAAAUUUCACAAUUGUUUGACACGUUUUGUACAAUAUCAGCUUACCCAAUAAAUAUUUCCUAUAUUUUUGAAUAAAUGUUCUUGAAAUGAU